This 478-nucleotide ribosomal RNA is filed under the name uncultured bacterium. RNAcentral describes it as "partial 16S ribosomal RNA". It matches the Rfam family "Bacterial small subunit ribosomal RNA", at positions 28 to 523 of the family's 1533-position model. The record is from RNAcentral.
GACGAACGCUGGCGGCGUGCUUAACACAUGCAAGUCGAACGGUAAGGCCCUUCGGGGUACACGAGUGGCGAACGGGUGAGUAACACGUGGGUGAUCUGCCCUGCACUUCGGGAUAAGACUGGGAAACUGGGUCUAAUACCGGAUAGGACUCCGGACUGCAUGGUCUGGGGUGGAAAGCUUUUGCGGUGUGGGAUGGGCCCGCGGCCUAUCAGCUUGUUGGUGGGGUGAUGGCCUACCAAGGCGACGACGGGUAGCCGGCCUGAGAGGGUGACCGGCCACACUGGGACUGAGAUACGGCCCAGACUCCUACGGGAGGCAGCAGUGGGGAAUAUUGCACAAUGGGCGCAAGCCUGAUGCAGCGACGCCGCGUGAGGGAUGACGGCCUUCGGGUUGUAAACCUCUUUCAGCAUCGACGAAGCGAAAGUGACGGUAGGUGCAGAAGAGGGACCGGCCAACUACGUGCCAGCCGCCGCAGUAA